This 495-nucleotide ribosomal RNA is filed under the name uncultured bacterium. RNAcentral's name for it is "partial 16S ribosomal RNA". It matches the Rfam family "Bacterial small subunit ribosomal RNA", at positions 28 to 507 of the family's 1533-position model. The record is from RNAcentral.
GACGAACGCUGGCGGCGUGCCUAAUACAUGCAAGUAGAACGCUGAAGGAGGAGCUUGCUUCUCCGGAUGAGUUGCGAACGGGUGAGUAACGCGUAGGUAACCUGCCUGGUAGCGGGGGAUAACUAUUGGAAACGAUAGCUAAUACCGCAUAAGAGUAGAUGUCGCAUGACAUUUGCUUAAAAGGUGCAACUGCACCACUACCAGAUGGACCUGCGUUGUAUUAGCUAGUUGGUGAGGUAACGGCUCACCAAGGCAACGAUACAUAGCCGACCUGGGAGGGGGAUCGGCCACACUGGGACUGAGACACGGCCCAGACUCCUACGGGAGGCAGCAGUAGGGAAUCUUCGGCAAUGGACGGAAGUCUGACCGAGCAACGCCGCGUGAGUGAAGAAGGUUUUCGGAUCGUAAAGCUCUGUUGUAAGAGAAGAACGAGUGUGAGAGUGGAAAGUUCACACUGUGACGGUAUCUUACCAGAAAGGGACGGCUAACUACGUG